This is a long non-coding RNA of Zingiber officinale, 320 nucleotides long. RefSeq lists it as uncharacterized. NCBI's taxonomy places the organism in Eukaryota, Viridiplantae, Streptophyta, Magnoliopsida, Zingiberales, Zingiberaceae. The record is from RefSeq and is a predicted model, not a curated record. The transcript is spliced from 3 exons.
GCAUUGGAGAUCAGUGAGUCUGUUCUUGAGCUGUCGGGCAGAGUCUAGGUUUGUAAUUGAUCAGUGAUGAUCUUCCGAUUGGGUGAUUUCUUCUUCCUUGCUGCUGGCUAAUCUGUUGAGCAGCUCUCUUGGGUUUCGGCAGAACCUCCCUCCAGCAGCAUCUUGUUUCAACAGCAACUUGAUUAAAGCAGUGAGGUUCUGUUGCUGUGUUGUUGACAAAGGUUUUGGAUCAGUGAGGUGAAUUCUAGCAGCAUUCCUUGAUCCAGCAAUCAACAGGGCUGUGAAUCGAGGACUCUGAUUCGAGACAGACGUCUCGACGU